CUGGAUAUGAUGCAGAUCUUGUUACCUGACUUUAGCUGAUGGUUUACAAUAUUCGUACUGUCUGAUCCAG
Small nucleolar RNA from Bombina bombina (fire-bellied toad), 70 nucleotides. The record is from RefSeq and is a predicted model, not a curated record. NCBI's taxonomy places the organism in Eukaryota, Metazoa, Chordata, Amphibia, Anura, Bombinatoridae.